GACGAACGCUGGCGGCGCGCCUAACACAUGCAAGUCGAACGGAGCUGAGAGGAGCUUGCUUUUCUUAGCUUAGUGGCGAACGGGUGAGUAACGCGUGAGUAACCUGCCCUGGAGUGGGGGACAACAGUUGGAAACGACUGCUAAUACCGCAUAAGCCCACGGUGCCGCAUGGCACUGCGGGAAAAGGAUUUAUUCGCUUCAGGAUGGACUCGCGUCCAAUUAGCUAGUUGGUGAGGUAACGGCCCACCAAGGCGACGAUUGGUAGCCGGACUGAGAGGUUGAACGGCCACAUUGGGACUGAGACACGGCCCAGACUCCUACGGGAGGCAGCAGUGGGGGAUAUUGCACAAUGGGGGAAACCCUGAUGCAGCGACGCCGCGUGGAGGAAGAAGGUUUUCGGAUUGUAAACUCCUGUCGUUAGGGACGAUAAUGACG
RNAcentral lists this ribosomal RNA (435 nucleotides) under uncultured bacterium. Its description in RNAcentral is "bacterial SSU rRNA". It matches the Rfam family "Bacterial small subunit ribosomal RNA", at positions 28 to 456 of the family's 1533-position model. The record is from RNAcentral.